GAUGAACGCUGGCGGCGUGCCUAAUACAUGCAAGUCGAGCGAACAGACGAGGAGCUUGCUCCUCUGACGUUAGCGGCGGACGGGUGAGUAACACGUGGAUAACCUACCUAUAAGACUGGGAUAACUUCGGGAAACCGGAGCUAAUACCGGAUAACAUGUUGAACCGCAUGGUUCAACAGUGAAAGACGGUCUUGCUGUCACUUAUAGAUGGAUCCGCGCCGCAUUAGCUAGUUGGUAAGGUAACGGCUUGCCAAGGCAACGAUGCGUAGCCGACCUGAGAGGAUGAUCGGCCACACUGGAACUGAGACACGGUCCAGACUCCUACGGGAGGCAGCAGUAGGGAAUCUUCCGCAAUGGGCGAAAGCCUGACGGAGCAACGCCGCGUGAGUGAUGAAGGUCUUCGGAUCGUAAAACUCUGUUAUUAGGGAAGAACAAAUGUGUAAGUAACUAUGCACGUCUUGACGGUACCUAAUCAGAAAGCCACGGCUAACUACGUG
RNAcentral lists this ribosomal RNA (497 nucleotides) under uncultured bacterium. RNAcentral's name for it is "partial 16S ribosomal RNA". It matches the Rfam family "Bacterial small subunit ribosomal RNA", at positions 28 to 507 of the family's 1533-position model. The record is from RNAcentral.